RNAcentral lists this ribosomal RNA (484 nucleotides) under uncultured bacterium. Its description in RNAcentral is "partial 16S ribosomal RNA". It matches the Rfam family "Bacterial small subunit ribosomal RNA", at positions 29 to 507 of the family's 1533-position model. The record is from RNAcentral.
AGUGAACGCUGGCGGCAGGCCUAACACAUGCAAGUCGAGCGGCAGCGCGGGGGCAACCCUGACGGCGAGCGGCGGACGGGUGAGGAAUUCGUUGGAAUCUGCCUUUUUGUGGGGGAUAACGUAGGGAAACUUACGCUAAUACCGCAUACGUCCUACGGGAGAAAGUGGGGGACCGCAAGGCCUCACGCAGAAAGAUGAGCCGACGACCGAUUAGCUAGUUGGUGGGGUAAAGGCCCACCAAGGCGACGAUCGGUAGCUGGUCUGAGAGGAUGAUCAGCCACACUGGGACUGAGACACGGCCCAGACUCCUACGGGAGGCAGCAGUGGGGAAUAUUGGACAAUGGGCGCAAGCCUGAUCCAGCCAUGCCGCGUGUGUGAAGAAGGCCUUCGGGUUGUAAAGCACUUUUGUCCGGAAAGAAAUCCCUGGAGCUAAUACCUUCGGGGGAUGACGGUACCGGAAGAAUAAGCACCGGCUAACUUCGUG